UACGUAGGGGGCAAGCGUUGUCCGGAAUCAUUGGGCGUAAAGAGCGUGUAGGCGGCCAGAUAAGUCCGCUGUGAAAACUCGAGGCUCAACUUCGAGCUGUCGGCGGAAACUAUCUGGCUAGAGUCCGGAAGAGGAGAGUGGAAUUCCUGGUGUAGCGGUGAAAUUCGUAGAUAUUGGGAAGAACACCGGUGGCGAAGGCGGCGACCUGGUCCAUUACUGACGCUGAGGCGCGACAGCGUGGGGAGCAAACAGG
RNAcentral lists this ribosomal RNA (253 nucleotides) under uncultured bacterium. RNAcentral's name for it is "partial 16S ribosomal RNA". It matches the Rfam family "Bacterial small subunit ribosomal RNA", at positions 524 to 776 of the family's 1533-position model. The record is from RNAcentral.